GAUUAGCAGCAAUGGGAAAAUCCAAACACUAUGAAGAUAAGCGAUAUAAAAGCAGCGAUAAUCUUACGUCGACCAUUGCUUUGGCAUAUUUCCUGGCUUUGUCUUUUGGAUGCAUAUGUAUGCAGACACACAAAUCAGGGGUUCUGUUUUGUACUUGCAAACUGUGUACUGACGGCGCCCGUGCCGCUCUCCCGACCUCGCGACGCCGUCCCGCCUCCACGUGAAGCCGCUGGGCGUGUUACCCUCCGCCCAGGGCCGCAGCAUGCUUACUCCUUAGUUGUGAAGUCAGCGCGGCCCAGGAAGCGGAGCAAGAAGGGGGCCAUUUAGGACCACACAAGAUAAAAUGGGCCGUGAGUCCAUAACAUCCCAGUCGGUGGUGAGGAGCGCCGAGGGCGGCGGCCGGUGGCGUUCACCCUGGGCGUGGGACGCGUUAGGCUCCUUCAGAGUUGCUAAACCGCCCCAACUGAGAAGAAGGAGGGCAUUGUCUCCAUCGGAAGCUGUUUUCACUCCCACUCGGCAGAUGAGAAGGCCAAGGCUUAGAGGUGACGCCGUCUCGCCACGCUGGGUUGGGGUGUGGAUAAGCACAGGGCUGGUGAGCGCGGCGAGCACACGUCUGCACCAGGUCGCAGUGAGCUGCUCUCGGUGCGCUUCGUUAGGCCCUGCAGAUGGGGAAGACAGGAAAUAGCUACCUUUCGCGGGGCUCUUUAAUGUGGUUCUUCCACAGCCAUCUGUGCAACCCACUGCAAGGGACCGCGGCCUCCCAGUCGUGUCUUGAAUCGUGUGUGUGACAGUUGCUCCCAUAACGGCUCCUUCUUGGAAGAUCAAAGGCUACCAGACACUGGAGAAUAGAG
This 851-nucleotide long non-coding RNA is filed under the name Fukomys damarensis (Damara mole-rat). RNAcentral describes it as "lncRNA (ENSFDAG00000030722.1)". Lineage: Eukaryota; Metazoa; Chordata; Mammalia; Rodentia; Bathyergidae. The record is from RNAcentral.